Molecule: ribosomal RNA, 412 nt
Filed under: uncultured bacterium
Lineage: Bacteria
Description: bacterial SSU rRNA
Rfam family: Bacterial small subunit ribosomal RNA
Source: RNAcentral
UGAGGAAUAUUGGUCAAUGGGCGGGAGCCUGAACCAGCCAAGUCGCGUGAAGGAAGAAGGAUCUAUGGUUCGUAAACUUCUUUUGCAGGGGAAUAAAGUGCAGGACGUGUCCUGUUUUGUAUGUACCCUGAGAAUAAGGAUCGGCUAACUCCGUGCCAGCAGCCGCGGUAAUACGGAGGAUCCGAGCGUUAUCCGGAUUGAUUGGGUUUAAAGGGUGCGUAGGUGGUUUGAUAAGUCAGCGGUGAAAGUUUGCAGCUUAACUGUAAAAAUGCCGUUGAAACUGUCUGACUUGAGUGUAAAUGAGNUAGGCGGAAUGCGUGGUGUAGCGGUGAAAUGCAUAGAUGUCACGCAGAACUCCGAUUGCGAAGGCAGCUUACUAAGCUACAACUGACACUGAAGCACGAAAGCGUGG